This 45-nucleotide non-coding RNA is filed under the name Schistosoma mattheei. The record is from RNAcentral. Lineage: Eukaryota; Metazoa; Platyhelminthes; Trematoda; Strigeidida; Schistosomatidae.
AUCUAACUGAUGAGUCCGAAAUAAAAUGAAAUGCGCGUCCUAGAU